Nyctereutes procyonoides (raccoon dog) is the source of this 2098-nucleotide long non-coding RNA. RefSeq lists it as uncharacterized. Lineage: Eukaryota; Metazoa; Chordata; Mammalia; Carnivora; Canidae. The record is from RefSeq and is a predicted model, not a curated record. The transcript has 3 exons.
ACGAAGGAGGAGGAUGUCCUCAAAUUCCUUGCAGCAGGAACCUACUUGGUUGGCACCAACCUUGAUUUCCAAUUGAAACAGUACAUCUACAAAAGGAAAUGUGAUGGCAUCUGUAUCAUAAAUCUGAAGAGAACCUGGGAAAAGCUUCUGCUGGCAGCUUAUACCAUUGGUGCCACUGAGAACCUGGCUCAUGUCAAUGUCAUAUCCCUGGCCAGUGAGCUGUGCUGAAGUGUGCUGCUGCUACUAGAGCUACUGCUGUUGCUGACUGCCCCACUCCUGGAGACUUCACUAACCAGACCCAGGCAGCCUUCUGGGAACUGAGACUUCUGGUGACUACUGAUCCAGCACCAACUCCAGCCUCUCAAAGAGGCAUGUUAUGUCAACUCACCUACCAUCACUCUGUGUGACACAGAUGCUCCUCUGAACCAUGUGGACAUUGACAUCCCUUGCAACAAAAGGGAGCUCACUCAGUGAGUCUGAUGUGAUUGAAUGCUGGCCUGGGAGGCUCUGCGUAUGCGUGACACCCUUUCCCCUGAACAUCCGUGGGAAGUUACCACUGCUGUCAACUUCUACAGAGAGCCCAAAGAAAUGAAAAGGAAGAGCAGGCUGCUGCCCAAAAGACUGUGACCAAGGAGGAGUUUCAGGUGUUGGAAAAAUACAUAGAAAACAUUGUUGAAGCUGAAGACUUUGAGAAACAGAAAGAAAAUUCAUGAUCGAAUCACAAUUUUGUGCCUCAAAAAGAAGAAUUUGGGCAGCCUGGGUGGCUCAGCAGUUUAGCGCCUCCCUCAGCUUAGGACCUGAUCCUGGAGACCCAGGAUCAAGUCCCACGUCAGGCUCCCUGCAUGGAGCCUGAUUCUCCCUCUGCCUGUGUCUUGCCUCUUUCUCUCUCUGUGCCUCUCAUUAAUAAAUAAAUAAAAUCUUUUUUAAAAAAGAAGAAUUUAUUGUACACCUGAAACUAAUGUUAUACAGUAUGCUAACCGACUAGAAAUUAAAGAAAAACUUUAAAGAAAUAAUUUACUGAAAACGGUAAAUUCUCAGCAAUAAGAAAAUCUUUACUGAAUUUAUUUUUAAUGGAUGAAAGAUCUAAAUGUGAGACAAGAUUCCAUCAAAAUCCUAGAGGAGAACACAGGCAACACCCUUUUUGAACUUGGCCACAGUAACUUCUUGCAAGAUACAUCCACGAAAGCAAAAGAAACAAAAGCAAAAAUGAACUAUUGGGACUUCAUCAAGAUAAGAAGCUUUUGCACAGCAAAGGAUACAGUCAACAAAACUAAAAGACAACCUACAGAAUGGGAGAAGAUAUCUGCAAAUGAUCUAUCAGAUAAAGGGCUAGUUUCCAAGAUCUAUAAAGAACUUAUUAAACUCAACACCAAAGAAACAAUCCAAUCAUGAAAUGGGCAAAAGACAUGAACAGAAAUCUCACAGAGGAAGACAUAGACAUGGCCAACACGCACAUGAGAAAAUGCUCUGCAUCACUUGCCAUCAGGGAAAUACAAAUCAAAACCACAAUGAGAUCCCACCUCACACCAGUGAGAAUGGGGAAAAUUAACAAGGCAGGAAACAACAAAUGUUGGAGAGGACGCGGAGAAAAGGGAACCCUCUUACACUGUUGGUGGGAAUGUGAACUGGUGCAGCCACUCUGGAAAACUGUGUGGAGGUUCCUCAAAGAGUUAAAAAUAGACCUGCCCUACGACCCAGCAAUUGCACUGUUGGGGAUUUACCCCAAAGAUUCAGAUGGAAUGAAACGCCGGGACACCUGCACCCCGAUGUUUCUAGCAGCAAUGUCCACAAUAGCCAAACUGUGGAAGGACCCUCGGUGUCCAUCGAAAGAUGAAUGGAUAAAGAAGAUGUGGUCUAUGUAUACCAUGGAAUAUUCCUCAGCCAUUAGAAAUGACAAAUACCCACCAUUUGCUUCGACGUGGAUGGAACUGGAGGGUAUUAUGCUGAGUGAAGUAAGUCAAUCGGAGAAUGACAAACAUUAUAUGUUCUCAUUCAUUUGGGGAAUAUAAAUAAUAGUGAAAGGGAAUAUAGGGAAGGGAGAAGAAAUGUGUGGGAAAUAUCAGAAAGGGAGACAGAACAAAAAGACUCCUAACUCUGG